GCCUGGGUGGCUCAGUCGGGUGAGCGUCCGACUUCAGCUCAGGUCAUGAUCUCGUGGUCUGUGGGUUCGAGCCCCACGUCAGGCU
RNAcentral lists this transfer RNA (85 nucleotides) under Felis catus (domestic cat). It matches the Rfam family "tRNA". Rfam says of the family: Transfer RNA (tRNA) molecules are approximately 80 nucleotides in length. Lineage: Eukaryota; Metazoa; Chordata; Mammalia; Carnivora; Felidae. The record is from Rfam by way of RNAcentral.